RNAcentral lists this unclassified non-coding RNA (334 nucleotides) under soil metagenome. Its description in RNAcentral is "partial contains 5.8S ribosomal RNA, internal transcribed spacer 2, and large subunit ribosomal RNA". The stretch from base 1 to 120 matches the Rfam family "5.8S ribosomal RNA", at positions 35 to 154 of the family's 154-position model. The record is from RNAcentral.
GAUGAAGAACGUAGCGAAAUGCGAUAAGUAAUGUGAAUUGCAGAAUCCAGUGAAUCAUCGAAUCUUUGAACGCACAUUGCGCCCGCCAGUAUUCUGGCGGGCAUGCCUGUCCGUGCGUCAUUUCAACCAUCAAGCCCCAGGCUUGUGUUGGGGACCUGCGUCCGACGCAGGCCCUGAAAACCAGUGGCGGGCUCGCUGUCCACACCGAGCGUAGUAACUAACCUCGCUACGGGAGCGGCGCGGGCGCCUGCCGUAAAACCCCCAAUUUUCACAAGGUUGACCUCGGAUCAGGUAGGAAUACCCGCUGAACUUAAGCAUAUCAAUAAGCGGAGGA